RNAcentral lists this ribosomal RNA (551 nucleotides) under uncultured bacterium. RNAcentral describes it as "partial 16S ribosomal RNA". It matches the Rfam family "Bacterial small subunit ribosomal RNA", at positions 355 to 912 of the family's 1533-position model. The record is from RNAcentral.
UGGGGAAUAUUGCACAAUGGGCGAAAGCCUGAUGCAGCGACGCCGCGUGAGGGAUGACGGCCUUCGGGUUGUAAACCUCUUUCAGCAGGGAAGAAGCGAAAGUGACGGUACCUGCAGAAGAAGCGCCGGCUAACUACGUGCCAGCAGCCGCGGUAAUACGUAGGGCGCAAGCGUUGUCCGGAAUUAUUGGGCGUAAAGAGCUCGUAGGCGGUUAGUCGCGUCUGCUGUGAAAACUCGAGGCUCAACCUCGGGCUUGCAGUGGGUACGGGCUGACUAGAGUGCAGUAGGGGGUGACUGGAAUUCCUGGUGUAGCGGUGGAAUGCGCAGAUAUCAGGAGGAACACGAUGGCGAAGGCAGGUCACUGGGCCGCAACUGACGCUGAGGAGCGAAAAGCAUGGGGAGCGAACAGGAUUAGAUAGCCCUGGUAGUCCAUGCCGUAAACGUUGGGCACUAGGUGUGGGGUCCAUUCCACGGAUUCCGUGCCGCAGCAAAGCGCAUUAAGUGCCCCGCCUGGGGGAGUACGGCCGCAAGGCUAAAACUCAAAGGAAUUG